Loxodonta africana (African savanna elephant) is the source of this 101-nucleotide small nuclear RNA. It matches the Rfam family "U5 spliceosomal RNA". Rfam says of the family: U5 RNA is a component of both types of known spliceosome. The precise function of this molecule is unknown, though it is known that the 5' loop is required for splice site selection and p220 binding, and that both the 3' stem-loop and the Sm site are important for Sm protein binding and cap methylation. The record is from Rfam. Lineage: Eukaryota; Metazoa; Chordata; Mammalia; Proboscidea; Elephantidae.
AUACUCUGGUUUCUCCUCAGAUUGAGUAAAUCUUUCAUCUUUUACUGAAGAUUUCUGUGAGGAGGAACCUUAGGAGGAAGAUACAUACAUAUGUGUGUAUA